This 65-nucleotide transfer RNA is filed under the name Conocephalus maculatus (maculated rice katydid). Its description in RNAcentral is "tRNA-Pro". The record is from RNAcentral. Lineage: Eukaryota; Metazoa; Arthropoda; Insecta; Orthoptera; Tettigoniidae.
CAGAGGGUAGUUUAAAUAAAAUACUAAUUUUGGGGAUUAGAGAUAAGAUAUUAUCUUUCCUCUGA